This 373-nucleotide long non-coding RNA is filed under the name Homo sapiens (human). RNAcentral describes it as "HSALNT0268759". The record is from RNAcentral. Lineage: Eukaryota; Metazoa; Chordata; Mammalia; Primates; Hominidae.
AAACAGGCUGGUAUUUAAACUUGCCAGUAGCAGAUGGGGGGUGGGGGUGGGGCAGCCUUGGCCCCUCAGAGCACGAAUGAUGGAGGCUGGACCCACCUGCCUGCCGAAGCUGGCUGAGCCCCCAAGGCCAGGUUCCCCCACCCUCAGCCUAAAAGGUGGAGAGGAGGGAGCACACGCUAAGGUACCCCACUUCCCCAGCUCCUGAAAUGGUUUCGAAGCAGGAGAGAAGGUAGGAAUCCUUUCUCUCCUAGGCUGCAGGGGACCCAUCCUUCCUCACUUAUCAGCGUGCUCCCAAAUGCAGUGACUAUAACUGAAAGGCCUUCCUUUUUCCAAAAAUGAUGGCUAUUUGAAACUCAAAAGGCAGUGAUUGAGU